This 90-nucleotide transfer RNA is filed under the name Pestalotiopsis fici W106-1. It matches the Rfam family "tRNA". Rfam says of the family: Transfer RNA (tRNA) molecules are approximately 80 nucleotides in length. Their secondary structure includes four short double-helical elements and three loops (D, anti-codon, and T loops). Lineage: Eukaryota; Fungi; Ascomycota; Sordariomycetes; Amphisphaeriales; Sporocadaceae. The record is from Rfam by way of RNAcentral.
UCUCGAUUAGUAUAGUGGUCAGUAUGCCAGCUUGUCAUUCAAUUACAAUUGAACUCGCUGGAGACCGGGGUUCAAUUCCCCGAUCGAGAG